Molecule: non-coding RNA, 454 nt
Organism: Triticum urartu
Lineage: Eukaryota; Viridiplantae; Streptophyta; Magnoliopsida; Poales; Poaceae
Source: RefSeq, a predicted model, not a curated record
UCCUAGCAGAGGCAGAAGCAGGUGCUUGAUGCGGCGCUCCCCCGUCGCUCCUCUUCUGCAUCUGGUACAGGCGCUCGAUGCGGUGCUCCCCUGUUGCUCCUCCUUCUCCUUCAUCGCCAAGAGGGGCGCUGCCUUCUACUGCUGCUCCAGCUUGGGAGGGACAAAAGAGGAGGUCGCUGGUAGAUGACGGGGGAGCAAGCAAGGACUGAUGGGUGCAUCACUACACUGCUACCCGUUUCUCAACUUUUGCUUUACACGGCACUAUUUCGACAGAAUAUUGUAGGAAGGGUGGACUAUGAAGGGAAACACUGGUGUUCUAAGAUAGAUGUUCUGUGUUUGAGAUCUUGCCUUGGUAGCUGGAUGCCUUGGUGCAAGACAUUCAAGAUGUGCAUGCUCAAAGAUUUUGGUCGGCAACUUAUAGUGUGUAUCAAAGGAUUCUGAAAAAAUAAGGUUG